AGAGUUUGAUCCUGGCUCAGGAUGAACGCUGGCGGUCUGCUUAACACAUGCAAGUCGAACGGAGUCCUCCAGGAUUUAGUGGCGGACGGGUGAGUAACGCGUGAGAAUCUGCCCUUAGGUUGGGGACAACAGUUGGAAACGACUGCUAAUACCCAAUGUGCCGAGAGGUGAAAGGUUAACUGCCUGGGGAUGAGCUCGCGUCUGAUUAGCUAGUUGGAGUGGUAACGGCACACCAAGGCGACGAUCAGUAGCUGGUCUGAGAGGAUGAUCAGCCACACUGGGACUGAGACACGGCCCAGACUCCUACGGGAGGCAGCAGUGGGGAAUUUUCCGCAAUGGGCGAAAGCCUGACGGAGCAAGACCGCGUGAGGGAGGAAGGCCUAUUGGUUGUAAACCUCUUUUGAUAGGGAAGAACACAAUGACGGUACCUAUCGAAUCAGCAUCGGCUAACUCCGUGCCAGCAGCCGCGGUAAUACGGAGGAUGCAAGCGUUAUCCGGAUUUAUUGGGCGUAAAGCGUCCGUAGGUGGCAAACCAAGUCAGUUGUUAAAGCGUAGAGCUUAACUCUAUAAGGGCAAUUGAAACUGGUUAGCUAGAGUGCGAUAGGGGCAAGGGGAAUUCCCAGUGUAGCGGUGAAAUGCGUAGAUAUUGGGAAGAACAUCGGUGGCGAAGGCGCCUUGCUGGGUCUGCACUGACACUGAGGGACGAAAGCUAGGGGAGCGAAAGGGAUUAGAUACCCCUGUAGUCCUAGCCGUAAA
This 756-nucleotide ribosomal RNA is filed under the name cyanobacterium enrichment culture clone 5_RT_5.2.1_A05-T7. Its description in RNAcentral is "bacterial SSU rRNA". It matches the Rfam family "Bacterial small subunit ribosomal RNA", at positions 8 to 806 of the family's 1533-position model. Lineage: Bacteria; Bacillati; Cyanobacteriota. The record is from RNAcentral.